UUUUGUGUAUGUUACAUCAGAACUUUUGACCGUGUGGACCGAUUUCGACAAAUUUUUUUUAAUCGAAAGGUGGUGUGUGCCAAUUGGUCCCAUUUAAAUUUAUUUGAAAUCUAACAACUACUUUUCGAGCUAUAUCUAAUAAUGCGUUUUUACUUGACACUUUUUUCGUCGACCUACGUUGUAUUAUACCGCAUAACUUUCUACUGGAUGUACCGAUUUUAAUAAUUCUUUUUUUGUUGGAAAGGGGAUAUCCUUAGUUUAGUACCAUGAUAAGGAAACCA
This 281-nucleotide unclassified non-coding RNA is filed under the name Melitaea cinxia (Glanville fritillary). RNAcentral describes it as "misc RNA ENSMCXG00005012142.1". The record is from RNAcentral. Lineage: Eukaryota; Metazoa; Arthropoda; Insecta; Lepidoptera; Nymphalidae.